This 268-nucleotide long non-coding RNA is filed under the name Elaeis guineensis (African oil palm). RNAcentral's name for it is "long non-coding RNA (EGUI_LNC044679)". Lineage: Eukaryota; Viridiplantae; Streptophyta; Magnoliopsida; Arecales; Arecaceae. The record is from RNAcentral.
CAACCCAGGAUGAGUGGUCCACAUUGUGUCUCAACUUCAAAAAUUCUAUGACUUCUCGCUAGGACUACUUUUGCCAAAGUUUUACUAAAUUGUAAUACAGUGAUGUAUCAUCUCUAAUUUUACUUAGAGCGAUCAAUCCUAUUUUGACUCGCACUCAGACUUCAUAAGUACUUGACUGUACCCAGAAACUUUUUAUCAUUGAAUUAAAAAUUUGGAUAAUCUGGUACCAAAGCACAGUGAGUUGCUUAUAAGUCAUCAAGACAGCCUA